GAGAUUUCUUUGUACUGGUUUUGUCAGCAAGUCUGCCGGAAAACUAGUUCACUCUGAACUUCAGUACCCCUGACACUCUCGUUGUAUGAUCCACCGCUGCAAAAUUGGAGGAGCUGGGUUCUCAUAGUGGCACUACCAUAAGUCGAGGCAUACAACUAAGGAAUGGAUGCAAGCCACCCCAAUGGUUCUACUAGUUUGAACAUCUACGACCGGU
RNAcentral lists this long non-coding RNA (214 nucleotides) under Hordeum vulgare. RNAcentral describes it as "long non-coding RNA (HVUL_LNC001223)". The record is from RNAcentral. Lineage: Eukaryota; Viridiplantae; Streptophyta; Magnoliopsida; Poales; Poaceae.